Molecule: ribosomal RNA, 469 nt
Filed under: uncultured bacterium
Lineage: Bacteria
Description: bacterial SSU rRNA
Rfam family: Bacterial small subunit ribosomal RNA
Source: RNAcentral
AUUGAACGCUGGCGGCAUGCCUUACACAUGCAAGUCGAACGGCAGCACGGGAGCAAUCCUGGUGGCGAGUGGCGAACGGGUGAGUAAUAUAUCGGAACGUGCCCAGUCGUGGGGGAUAACGUAGCGAAAGCUACGCUAAUACCGCAUACGAUCUAAGGAUGAAAGCGGGGGAUCGCAAGACCUCGCGCGAUUGGAGCGGCCGAUAUCAGAUUAGCUAGUUGGUGUGGUAAAGGCUCACCAAGGCGACGAUCUGUAGCUGGUCUGAGAGGACGACCAGCCACACUGGAACUGAGACACGGUCCAGACUCCUACGGGAGGCAGCAGUGGGGGAAUUUUUGGACAAUGGACGCAAGUCUGAUCCAGCCAUUCCGCGUGCAGGAUGAAGGCCCUCGGGUUGUAAACUGCUUUUGUACGGAACGAAAAGGUUUGUCUUAAUACGAUGAGCUCAUGACGGUACCGUAAGAAUAAG